UCCCUGAUGGUUUAGUGGUUAAGACUCCACACUGUCACUGCCGAAAGCAUAGGUUCAAUCCCUGAUUGGGGAA
RNAcentral lists this transfer RNA (73 nucleotides) under Bos taurus (domestic cattle). It matches the Rfam family "tRNA". Rfam says of the family: Transfer RNA (tRNA) molecules are approximately 80 nucleotides in length. RNAcentral also lists the same sequence under 1 other name. Lineage: Eukaryota; Metazoa; Chordata; Mammalia; Artiodactyla; Bovidae. The record is from Rfam by way of RNAcentral.